Molecule: ribosomal RNA, 253 nt
Filed under: uncultured bacterium
Lineage: Bacteria
Description: partial 16S ribosomal RNA
Rfam family: Bacterial small subunit ribosomal RNA
Source: RNAcentral
UACGUAGGUGACAAGCGUUGUCCGGAUUUACUGGGCGUAAAGAGCGCGCAGGCGGUCGUUCAAGUCGAGUGUGAAAGCCCCCGGCUCAACUGGGGAGGGUCACUCGAUACUGAUCGACUCGAAGGCAGGAGAGGGAAGUGGAAUUCCCGGUGUAGUGGUGAAAUGCGUAGAUAUCGGGAGGAACACCAGUGGCGAAGGCGGCAUCCUGGACCGGUAUUGACGCUGAGGCGCGAAAGCCAGGGGAGCAAACAGG